This is a long non-coding RNA of Episyrphus balteatus (marmalade hoverfly), 2057 nucleotides long. RefSeq lists it as uncharacterized. The record is from RefSeq and is a predicted model, not a curated record. The transcript has 3 exons. Lineage: Eukaryota; Metazoa; Arthropoda; Insecta; Diptera; Syrphidae.
UUAUAAAACAAAGGUUCAAAAUUUUAAGAAAAAAUGUGCUAUUCCCAUUCAAAUGGUAAGCAUUGACGUAGUGUAGGGGGUUGAGGUAAUUAUGUACUACAAUGAAAAUUAAACCUGGACGAUUGUUGAACUUGUCAAUGCUAAUUGUUGUCCAAAGACGAUCUAGAUGACCUUAAUGCAGAGAUUACAAAGGAGGAAAUUUAUUGUUUGCCUUUCGAAAUACAAACCCCACAUAAAACCGUCCCCCUAAAUAUUCGGAGGGCCCGUCGUCACCGAAAUGCUGAGUUUCAAAAGGCGAACAAAGGAAACCUUGUUUCUUUGAAAGCGUAAUUAGACGCACUCAGUCAAAAAUUUUACUAAUUAAACCGAUCCUACCGCAGUAGGCAAGUUUCCUGUGAAAUUUAUUUGUUAAUUUUACACGCAGAAAAAAAGAAGAAACGAUUUUCUCACACGGACAGCGAAAAGCAAGCAACCGAUUGAAUUUAGGCUUUCGAGAAUACAAACUCCAUUUAAACCCUUUUAGUUUUCGACUAUCCCCGCGGGACCGCUCUUUGAAUUACUUUAAAAUAUUUUCUUUGAAGAUACAGAUUUUUUGUCAGUUUUCGCCAAUUUUCGUUACUAUCGAGCACCGAGGAAAGGUGUGGUUAUCGCCAUCUUCUGAUGAGUAUCCGCACUUUGAAGUUGGAGUGAUUGUUUUGCAAAUUCUGUGGAGGAAGGUUUUGAAAUAUCCGAGCUCGACAUACUUCUUUUCCACCGCAAGGAGAUCGAUUGUAGUCACAGCUCCGACAACAAGGAUGGAGAUAAGAGUGGAAGCUGUUAUGGGAACACAAGACCAAUUACACAGUCAUUACCCAAACUGACUCAUAAAAUUUUGUUCGCUAUUUCAUGUAUGUAACUAUAUAGAACUUUUUUGCCGACGACCUCAAAUAAAAACAACGCAUAUUGAAACAAUCGGAAAAAAUAAAACUAACAGUGUGGUAAAUUAAACAGUUUAAAAACGGAAAGCCGAAAACAUGAUUAGUUUAUAUCAGAUCAAAAAGUCAAGUCGUUACUGGUGCAAAACGAGGAUAUCAAAAACUUUGUCCAUUCAGGAUUCUCCACUACAAGGCAAAUUGGAGUUUUUCUGAAUUUCCCAGAAAGCCUUCCAAAAUAUACCAAAGUAAGAAGUUUAAAAUUUGAAAUUGCAGUAAUUCUACAUCGAUUCUGUGUCCUCUACUCUUUAUUGCGGUCCUGCUUGUAGGCCAAGAGAAGUGCCAAAUGUCCUUCAGUAACUUUUUGCUGACACAAUUAAUUUACCCUAAGUGAAUUUUCAGAAUAUCAACUAUUCUUAUUUGCAAGAAUAGAAAGGAUCAACAAUGUACUGCCAGGUCCAAACUUCUAAGCAGAGAUGCAUUAUUCAUGAUGAUAUUCUUGGAGGCUUUGUUAAGGGGUAAUAACACUUUGUAAAAACGAAAUCGAGUGUCAUUUCCACCAGUGGAAUAUUAAAAUUUAACGAUUUUAUGGUCUUUUUUCUUCGAAUUCCGUUUUUGGAAUACAUGAAUUUUUCCCAUUUCUUUAAAAAUCAAUAAAUCAAAAUAAUCCUACGUUCUUCACUGGGGAAUAGUUUUGUUAAUCUUCACAAAAAUUUCAGCCCGAUCGGUUAAAAACUGUAGGAGUUAGUUGGAAGUCGGAUUGAAGGGGAGAUUUUGACCCCCGGAACUAAACGUCGCCUGCCAACAAAAAAAAGAAAAAAACCGUUUUUGAAAGAUGUGGCAACAGACCGAUUAUCAUCAUCUCAAGGAUACUGCGGAUGUUGAUGCAGCGUGGCUUGAACCGUCCCAGCCAUGGAAAUCCGCGGCUACUUCAUCCCCACAAAAAACUAGCUGAUGCCUAUCUUUGUUUCUUAGAACUACGAAGCAGGUUGAGUUUAAAUUAAACAUUCCAGACAUGUAUAAGAAUCAGAAAUACAAAAAAAAAAUAAAACAUACCUAUUGAGUUUCUUCAAUUGUUUAAUCCAACGAUCUCUAAAUUGUUUGUUACGUUUGGCAUACGGAGUAUUCUCCCAAUGGGCUUUGGUC